This 977-nucleotide long non-coding RNA is filed under the name Oreochromis niloticus (Nile tilapia). RNAcentral describes it as "lncRNA (ENSONIG00000039287.1)". Lineage: Eukaryota; Metazoa; Chordata; Actinopteri; Cichliformes; Cichlidae. The record is from RNAcentral.
AUGAGCAUCACGUUAGCAAAGGAAGGAGAGCCAAGCACGAAACACGGCACCGCAGAAAACAAUUUUUCGGCGAAAGAAAAUGAGGAGAGAAUAAAUGUCCCGGCACUUCUUCACCUGUUCAUGAUCAACCAGAUAACCAGGAUGUGGUGCCUUUUGAAACAUCUUCUCCUUCAACAUCAUGUACGACACGGGGCCAUCCACAUGGUUUGCUGUCACACCUGGAUGCACAGCUGGAGUCACUUCCUCUUCAUCAGUGGAGGAACUUUAAUCCUGUGUUAGUAGGAAUUCUGUGGUUAGAUCUUUUUUGCAUUGGUGAACUGGGUUAAUCUAACUUGUUUUAGAUGGGAUAUUUGGUAGGGUUUUUUCUUUUUUUUACAUCAGAAGGGGUUUGUUAUUUUGACCUUGGAGACCCUGGAGUACUUAUGGUGUCUUGAAGCCCAAUGACUGUGUUGAAUCUUUGCAGCCAAUUGCUUCGUCAGAAGGCAGACUACACAAAGCCUGAUAUCUGAUAUUUAUCUAUACCAGGGGUAGGCAACCUUUCUGAUGAUGAGUGCCAUCUAAAGUUUCCUCAGAAGUCAAUGUGCCAUAUAAUUGCAUUGGCAAUAAAUUUAAUAAUGCUCUAUAUGAACAGUUACACACUAUAUAGAACAACUUUAUAGAAUUAUAUUUGUUCGCAGAUGUUGGCAGCUAUCAGUGAAACGUUAUCAGCUAUUUUAAAACAAAAAAAGACUUUUUAUCCAUAACAAGAACUCCAUAACAGCAAAUGAACUGUACAACAGAAAAUGCAAAUGCUAUUUAUGGUCUCCUCACAACAAUGAUAAGAAAAAUAAACUGUACAAUAUGGCAUGUUUGUUAAUACAGGGACACACAUGUUAAUGUGAUCUCUGGUCUCCCACUCAGAGACACAGGUCUCCGAGUGUCCAGCAUUCAGACAGCUACCUGAGGAUACUCAUGUGAGAGAAAAUCUGCUCACACAG